GCCACUUACCAAUUUGGAGUGGUCUGCCUCCGUCUUCAGUCUCUCCUUGCUCUCCAUGGACACAGGCCAGUUUUGAAUUUCACCUGGGAAAUCCCAGGACCGUGAACCAACAGACACCCUACCCUGACACCGUCCAAGCUGUACAUGACUCCCUUUACUUCUUCACCCUGAAGAUGUUGCAAACAGUAUGGAAAGAAGCACCUCGGAGAGAGGAUUGUAGACGGCAUCACAGCAACAGCCCCCUUAGUCACGCCUUAAUACUGGAAUGCGUAUACAUCUUUAGUCUUGCUUCAAUAACGCUUGUCAGCCUCAGGCUCCAUGAAAACCGCCGCAUCCAAUGUUUGUUUUGUCUGUUAAUUUAUAACAUUUGGGGCCAGAUGUGAAUUGAAAAUCCUUCACCAAACUGUCAAAAGCAACAAUUAAAAAAUCUUCUCCAGGAAUUGCCACAGCAGUCACUCCAUUCCAGAUGUAGGACGGAAAGCGCACGAAAACGACAGGGCUGUGAGUUCCCGCGGCCAGGUUUCCAGCAGGACGAGCGCAGAGCGGCGGCCGACGACAUCUCGCGGCAGGCCUUGCUGUCCCGCGAGAGGUUUCCCGAUGGGUAGUUAUCUGACUUCCGGCUUCUCGCGGAUCAUAACCUUUCCUAGAGAGUCUGAGUUGCCUCGGAUAAUGAAGUUUCCAAAAUUUCCGUUUGGUGUUCCCCGAUGAAAAUGCUUGUUCACCAAGAGUCAGAGCAUCCGUCUACUGUAAUAUCAACAUGAAUCAACUUUCUAAGAAUUGUCAAAUCUGGACCUUGACAACAUUAAGUCUGUGGACCAAUGGAAAAUAUUAACAAUUCACACAAAAAAUAUGUGUUGGUCGCCUAAUGUCUAUGAAGUACUGGGGACAAAAGAUGAUGAGAGAAAAUAUUCAAGGGAAGUUGAUAAUUUGCAUCCUUAUAUUACUGCCUCAUGUUUAGAUUCCUUCCAAAAAUUAGAAUCUGUUCAACAGUUAAAACUAUGCUGAUCUUAUCAUCAUGAACUCAUACCUUUAUUUGUAUUGUGGAUUGUUGUCAGGGAAUACCCCUAUACUCAGCAAGAAGUUCUGCAAGGAAGGGUCGUAAGACAUGCCACAGUGAGUGGAGAUAAGAGUAACAUUAUGUUCCAAGUCGUCAAGCCUUUUAAUUCUCUAGGACAGUUUUACAGUUCACAAGUCUAGUGAAUCCUUAGACUGUCAAUAAAGAUUUAUAGAAAAUCACUACCUAAGCACAGGUACUCCAGUGUAAAAAAUGUCAUUCUAUUUUACCGCAAAUCAUACCUACUGGGAUUCUGCCUCCUUGUUAUUUUGCUUGUUUUUGAGGCCUACACUGACUUAAUCCUGUUGAGAAAGGAAAUCUAAAUACUUUCACAACAAAGAAGAGGCUCUAGAAGCUCUCCAGAGGCCUUGACAAAUGAAUAUCAAUAGAUUUCCUCUAAAAGAAAAUAUUCUGUAUGUGAGAACUUUACUGAAAUAUAACCAAUUUAUCAUGGUUCCCCCCUUUUAUAUUAGCUUAUUUAUAAUAUCAUUUCACAGACAUGGUUCUGGCCUUGAAAAAUAUACGUCCUCACUUUAUAAUAUGUUGUCAAAGGUUAAAAAUUUUAAUUUGAAAAUAAAAAAGGAAUAUGGACAAUAUAUCACUAUUCAAAUUAUUUUCAAAUCCUUUGGUUUUGUUUGUUGGCAUUAGAAAUAUUAAAUUCUGUAAAAAAAGGCCGCCUCAGGAUUAUCUUCAUAUAAGGUUUGUAGCACAGAGAGUAACUGACAAGGCGUAUACAGAGACACACAGUCAACCACAUUAUGAUUGAUUUUGUUUUUAGUGAAAAUGGCAGUUGGUUAUGCCUUAAAGCUGGAAGCAUUGGCAGAAGAUAUGCUGAUACUUUGACAGUACAGGGAAGUGACACGAUAGAUAGGACUAGGCCAAAACCCACUCAAUAAAUACAUGACUAGUUUGGGACUGUUAGUCCCACAACAGACGCUGAUUAUGGGCAAUCAGUAGUUCCAAGGUACAAAUACUAAGAGAUAUAGUGGUCUCCACUGUAAUUCAAGUGGUUAUAAACAAACACCUUUAAGAUUUAUCCAGGGUGUGAGGUAGAGCAGAGGCAAAUCCAUUGUUCUGUCAAAUAUUGAACAAUAGGUGGGCAGCAAUCAGGAUUCUGAGAGAGAUUUACAUAAGAAGAAGUGGGAGCAGAUGCAGCUGUGGGGGAUGCUGGAGUCACCAAAGGCAAGGAACCUGGUAAGAACUAGCUAGUUUGCUAGAGUGCGACCAAGGGUGCAGUGCUGAGGGAUUGAAUGCUAGUCAUAGUGGUGAAUCACGGUAUUAGCCCAGGAAAUUAGGACAAUUGGAGUCAGAGUAGCCACUGAGGAAAAAGGUGAAAGCAAUAGGAAAAAUGGAAAAUGUUUUGCCUCAAUCUGUUUAUGAGCCUGAGGCUAGCACCUGGGUAGUGGAUCAUCAAUCAUCUUUCAACUAAAAAUGAUUUGGCUAAGGAAAAGUUAAAGGUCAUUUUAGGUUAUUGAUAAGCUAUGUAAAACUGGAGGCCGUCAAUUUACGGAGGCACUGUACUUUGGUUUCUUAUGAUUUUCUAAAGCAUAUGCCAAAAAAUGGUUAAUGGUAAGACUGACUGAGCAUGUUGUAUGCUUGGGCCAGUAAGUAUAACAGGUGAAAUAAUUGAUAAUAUAAUUAUUAAUGGAAUGUCUCACUUCCCAUCCACCAUGACACUGAGGUCCCUGGUGACCUAGUGAUUGUUAAUAGACUUCUACCAUAGGACAUUUAACUAAAUUGUUAAAAUGAAUUAAAAUCGCUUGGUGACUGACUGCAGUGUGGUCAGUCUAAUUAACAAUCUAGUUUGUGCAGGAAGAUACCCUCACCCUUUAUUGAACUUCUAAAUUUGCAUUAUAUAGUCACUGCUGUACGGCUCCAUGUUGGUUAAAAAAAUAAAAAAUAGCAUGGGAGAGAAAAAAUACAGUGAAAAGGUCUAGCUAUAAUUAUUUUCUCUGUUUUGCUUUGCAGACCAUUAAUACCACAGAGUUUGAAAUCUAUUCUUGAAAAGGUUUAACUGAACUUUUAGCAAUGUAUUUUGAACAGUAUUUUUGAGGGGCAGUUCAAAAUGAUGGAUAGCUUUUGCAAAGAUUAAAAAUUAAAAUUAUUAAGUGUGUCCUUGGGAAGAAUCGUUCAGAGAGGAUGCUACCAUUCAGUCUAGUUUCCAAACUCAAUAGUUUAUGAAUACAAAUAUUUUUAUGAAUCACUGGAGGAAAAUAAAGCUUUCCAAAACUAAGACAUGAUAAAAAUUAAUUGUAUUUUUAAAUGUUUCUAAUG
This is a long non-coding RNA of Equus caballus (horse), 3328 nucleotides long. The record is from Ensembl. NCBI's taxonomy places the organism in Eukaryota, Metazoa, Chordata, Mammalia, Perissodactyla, Equidae.